Molecule: long non-coding RNA, 225 nt
Organism: Telopea speciosissima
Lineage: Eukaryota; Viridiplantae; Streptophyta; Magnoliopsida; Proteales; Proteaceae
Exons: 3
Source: RefSeq, a predicted model, not a curated record
AUACCUUAUGAGGUAAUCACCUAUCUUACUGAGAAUGCUCCUAAGUCCUUUUCGAUUCACUCUAACAUUAAGGAUAGACUAGUCUGGUCGUUAAAUACAACUGGGGAAUUCUCGGUCAAAUCAGCAUGGGAGAAAGAGGCGUAUUCUAUUCCGCCUCUUGCCUUUUGUCUUAACAGAGCCUCGCUAACAAGCACUGCCUAUUAGUAUAAAAAAGUCGGAUCGGGC